CUUGGGGGAAGCCUUGGCGCAUGUCGUGGAAGGAAGCUCGGAGCUGGGAGUCAUCGCAGGUCACAUGUUUACUGAAUCUCCACUGGUGCUGUUCCGGGUGCUGAAGAUAAAUGAAGAAAACAACAAAGAUCACUGCUCCGGAGGAGCUACAUUCUAGUACAGACGGACAACAGCAGGAAAAAACCCACAAAGAGUAAAACAGAAACGUAAAAUACAUCGCAUGCCAGUUGAGGACAAGUGCUGCGGAGAGUGAGCUCGACUUAGGGAUGUGCUUCUAUGAACAGGGCACGGGAGGGGAAGAACUGUAGCGCCAGGUGGAGAGACCUGAUGCCCACUACCUUGGCCGUGUGGUCAAGGUCAGCUUCACAGUGAUGUGUCGUGUUGACACCCGUCUGCUGUGGGGUGAUGAUAAGGAAGCAUCGCCUGUGUGCGACCUGCCCCCAAACACGUCACUCUAAUCAUGAGAAAGCGCCAUACAGACCCUGACUGAGGGCCAUUUGACAAAAUACCUGACCCGCAGUGCUCUUCCAAAGUGUCAAGGUCACGAAAAGCACACAAAGCCUAGUGCUACGGAUUGAAGAGCUGCACCCCAGAGUGGACCACCUGUCACCUUUCCCCAAGGAAUGAAGUGGGAGCGAGGUGACACCAAGAUGGCAACAGCUACAGACACAGAAGUGCUUUGGCCACUUGGGAGAAUCCAGUAAGAGAGACCACUUGCCAUUCCUGAUGGUGAUUUUCCAUGAAGACAUGCAGAGUUCAGAUAAACAAACGCCCCUACACGCGCCCACACUGCUACUCACACACGUGUGCACACACGCACGCGCACACACAGCCUUCUGGAGACGCGUGGCUUCUAGCAGCUAAUACGGCUGCAGCCUCCGGAGCUCAUCACUCACUGUGUACCGGCGGGGUUGGGGGUGGUCCUCAGAGUCUUCCUCUCUCUGAUCCCCUGCUUCUCCGUCAGUCUCUCCCGAAGAGGCUGCUGUGAACCCGUUUGUGGAUCUGACCAGCAGGUAUAUGUGUC
This is a long non-coding RNA of Camelus dromedarius (Arabian camel), 1024 nucleotides long. RefSeq lists it as uncharacterized. The transcript is spliced from 3 exons. The record is from RefSeq and is a predicted model, not a curated record. NCBI's taxonomy places the organism in Eukaryota, Metazoa, Chordata, Mammalia, Artiodactyla, Camelidae.